RNAcentral lists this ribosomal RNA (1419 nucleotides) under uncultured Bordetella sp. RNAcentral's name for it is "partial 16S-23S ribosomal RNA intergenic spacer". It matches the Rfam family "Bacterial small subunit ribosomal RNA". Lineage: Bacteria; Pseudomonadati; Pseudomonadota; Betaproteobacteria; Burkholderiales; Alcaligenaceae. The record is from RNAcentral.
ACCAGUCGAACGGCGGCACGGACUUCCGGUCUGGUGGCGAGUGGCAGGCGGGUGAUGUAUCGGAACGUGCCUAGUAGCGGGGGAUAACUACGCGAAAGCCCCGUAGCUGUGCCACGCCAUCCGGGAAAACGGGAGACCUUCGGGCCUCGCACUAUUGAAGCGGCCGAUAUCGGAUAGCUAGUUGGUGGGGUAACGGCUCGCAAGGCGACGAUCCGUAGCUGGUUUGAGAGGACGACCAGCCACACUGGGACUGAGACACGGCCCAGACUCCUGCGGGAGAGGCAGCAGUGGGAAUUUUGGACAAUGGAAACCUGAUCCAGCCAUCCCGCGUGUGCGAUGAAGGCCUUCGGAGUUGUAAAGCACUUUUGGCAGGAAAACGGCACCGGGAUAAUACCCCGUGCAACUGACGGUACCUGCAGAAUCAAGCACCGGCUAACUACGUGCCAGCAACCGCGGUAAUACGUAGGGUGCAAGCGUUAAUCGGAAUUACUGGGCGUAAAGCGUGCGCAGGCGGUUCGGAAGAACGAUGUGAAAUCCAGAGCUUAACUUUGGAACUGCAUUUUUAACUACCGAGCUAGAGCGUGUCAGAGGGAGGUGGAAUUCGCGUGUAGCAGUGAAAUGCGUAGAUAUGCGGAGGAACACCGAUGGCGAAAACAGCCUCCUGGGAUAACACUGACGCUCAUGCACGAAAGCGUGGGGGGCAAGCAGGAUUAGAUACCCUGGUAGUCCACGCCCUAAACGAUGUCAACUAGCUGUUGGGGCCUUCGGGCCUUGGUAGCGCAGCCCCAGCGCGUGAAGUUGACCGCCUGGGGGUACGGUCGCAAGAUUAAAACUCAAAGGAAUUGACGGGGACCCGCACAAGCGGUGGAUGAUGUGGAUUAAUUCGAUGCAACGCGAAAAACCUUACCUACCCUUGACAUGUGCGGAAUCCCGAAGAGAUUUGGGAGUGCUCGCAAGAACCGGAACACAGGUGCUGCAUGGCUGUCGUCAGCUCGUGUCGUGAGAUGUUGGGUUAAGUCCCGCAACGAGCGCAACCCUUGUCAUUAGUUGCUACGAAGGGCACUCUAAUGAAUUUUGCCGGCGACAAACCGGAGGGAAGGUGGGGAUGACGUCAAGUCCUCAUGGCCCUUAUGGGUGGGGCUUCACACGUCAUACAAUGGUCGGGACAGAGGGUCGCCAACCCGCGAGGGAGCCAAUCCCAGAAACCCGAUCGUAGUCCGGAUCGCAGUCUGCAACUCGACUGCGUGAAGUCGGAAUCGCUAGUAAUCGCGGAUCAGCAUGUCGCGGUGAAUACGUUCCCGGGUCUUGGCACACCGCCGUCACCAUGAGGUGGGUUUUACCAGAAGUGGUUAGCCUAACCGUAAGGAGGGCGAUUACCACGGUAGGAUUCAUGACUGGGGUGAAGUCGUAACAAGGUAG